GACGAACGCUGGCGGCGUGCCUAAGACAUGCAAGUCGAACGGAUUGAUUGGGGAGCUUGCUUCCCAUGAUAUCAGUGGCGAACGGGUGAGUAACACGUGGAUAACCUGCCCCACAGUCCGGGAUAACACUCCGAAAGGAGUGCUAAUACGGGAUAGGCCUCAAGACCGCAUGGUUUUGAGGGGAAAGGCGAAAGCCGAUGAGGGAUGGGUCCGCGUCCCAUUAGCUAGUUGGUGAGGUAACGGCUCACCAAGGCGACGAUGGGUAGCCGGCCUGAGAGGGUGAACGGCCACACUGGGACUGAGAUACGGCCCAGACUCCUACGGGAGGCAG
RNAcentral lists this ribosomal RNA (331 nucleotides) under uncultured Bacillota bacterium. RNAcentral's name for it is "bacterial SSU rRNA". It matches the Rfam family "Bacterial small subunit ribosomal RNA", at positions 28 to 351 of the family's 1533-position model. Lineage: Bacteria; Bacillati; Bacillota. The record is from RNAcentral.